GGUGGCUGCGACUGUUUAAUAAAAACACAGCACUCUGCAAACACGAAAGUGGACGUAUAGGGUGUGACGCCUGCCCGGUGCUGGAAGAUUAAAUGAUGGGGUGCAAGCUCUUGAUUGAAGUCCCAGUAAACGGCGGCCGUAACUAUAACGGUCCUAAGGUAGCGAAAUUCCUUGUCGGGUAAGUUCCGACCUGCACGAAUGGCGUAACGAUGGCCACACUGUCUCCUCCCGAGACUCAGCGAAGUUGAAAUGUUUGUGAUGAUGCAAUCUACCCGCGGCUAGACGGAAAGACCCCAUGAACCUUUACUGUAGCUUUGCAUUGGACUUUGAAUCAAUCUGUGUAGGAUAGGUGGGAGGCUUUGAAGCGGGGACGCCAGUUCUCGUGGAGCCAUCCUUGAAAUACCACCCUGGUUCAUUUGAGGUUCUAACCUUGGUCCGUUAUCCGGAUCGGGGACAGUGCAUGGUAGGCAGUUUGACUGGGGCGGUCUCCUCCUAAAGUGUAACGGAGGAGUUCGAAGGUACGCUAGGUACGGUCGGACAUCGUGCUAAUAGUGCAAUGGCAUAAGCGUGCUUAACUGCGAGACCGACAAGUCGAGCAGGUACGAAAGUAGGACAUAGUGAUCCGGUGGUUCUGUAUGGAAGGGCCAUCGCUCAACGGAUAAAAGGUACUCUGGGGAUAACAGGCUGAUUCCUCCCAAGAGUUCAUAUCGACGGGGGAGUUUGGCACCUCGAUGUCGGCUCAUCACAUCCUGGGGCUGUAGCCGGUCCCAAGGGUAUGGCUGUUCGCCAUUUAAAGUGGUACGUGAGCUGGGUUUAAAACGUCGUGAGACAGUUUGGUCCCUAUCUGCCGUGGGCGUUGGAAAUUUGAAGGGGGCUGCUCCUAGUACGAGAGGACCGGAGUGGACGAACCUCUGGUGUACCGGUUGUCACGCCAGUGGCAUUGCCGGGUAGCUAAGUUCGGAAGAGAUAACCGCUGAAAGCAUCUAAGCGGGAAACUUGCCUUGAGAUGAGAUUUCCCGGAGCCUUGAGCUCCUUGAAGGGUCGUUCGAGACCAGGACGUUGAUAGGCUGGGUGUGGAAGUGCAGUAAUGCAUUAAGCUAACCAGUACUAAUUGCCCGUACGGCUUGUCCCU
RNAcentral lists this ribosomal RNA (1132 nucleotides) under Massilia sp. UBA1880. RNAcentral describes it as "bacterial LSU rRNA". It matches the Rfam family "Bacterial large subunit ribosomal RNA", at positions 1789 to 2925 of the family's 2925-position model. Lineage: Bacteria; Pseudomonadati; Pseudomonadota; Betaproteobacteria; Burkholderiales; Oxalobacteraceae. The record is from RNAcentral.